RNAcentral lists this ribosomal RNA (200 nucleotides) under uncultured bacterium. RNAcentral describes it as "partial 16S ribosomal RNA". It matches the Rfam family "Bacterial small subunit ribosomal RNA", at positions 28 to 232 of the family's 1533-position model. The record is from RNAcentral.
GAUGAACGCUAGCGGCAGGCUUAACACAUGCAAGUCGAGGGGUAUGGUUCUUCGGAACCAGAGACCGGCGCACGGGUGCGUAACGCGUAUGCAAUCUACCUUUACAGAAGGAUAGCCCAGAGAAAUUUGGAUUAAUACCUCAUAGUAUAACAUGACCGCAUGGUCGAGUUAUUAAAGUCACGACGGUAAAAGAUGAGCAU